UACGUAGGAGGCGAGCGUUGUCCGGAGUUACUGGGCGUAAAGGGUGCGCAGGCGGCGUCACGCGUGGAUAGUUGAAAUCUCCUGGCUUACCUGGGAGGGUGGUAUCCAGACGGUGGCGCUUGAGGGUCGGAGAGGGGCGUGGAAUUCCGGGUGGAGCGGUGAAAUGCGUAGAGAUCCGGAGGAACACCGGUGGCGAAGGCGGCAUCCUGGACCAUUACUGACACUGAAAAGCGAAAGCCAGGGGAGCAAACGGG
This 254-nucleotide ribosomal RNA is filed under the name uncultured bacterium. RNAcentral's name for it is "partial 16S ribosomal RNA". It matches the Rfam family "Bacterial small subunit ribosomal RNA", at positions 524 to 776 of the family's 1533-position model. The record is from RNAcentral.